GCCGGUGUGGUGAAAUUGGUAGACACGAUAGACUCAAAAUCUAUUAGGAGCAAUCCUGUAUCGGUUCAAGUCCGAUCACCGGUA
RNAcentral lists this transfer RNA (84 nucleotides) under Spirochaetaceae bacterium. Its description in RNAcentral is "tRNA-Leu". It matches the Rfam family "tRNA". From Rfam's summary of the family: Transfer RNA (tRNA) molecules are approximately 80 nucleotides in length. Their secondary structure includes four short double-helical elements and three loops (D, anti-codon, and T loops). The record is from RNAcentral. Lineage: Bacteria; Pseudomonadati; Spirochaetota; Spirochaetia; Spirochaetales; Spirochaetaceae.